UCCCUUCCUUCUUCCUUCUUUCUCCCUCGCUUCAUACAGAAGAUUAUGCGAGCGGAGGGAUUCGCUCUGAAGUUCGCCUGUCAGAACCCAUGGCUCCAGCAUGUUUUCCUCUGCUCUGUAAAGAUCCCUCAUAAACCCUGGCAGAGUUUACACCAAAAGCAUGCCCCACGAGGCGACGCCUGGCAUCCCGACAACUUCGGGGGAGACCAAUCUUCAUGCCUUUUAAAUCACUGCAGCUGAAACUAGAAAUACCGUGUACAGCUAUUGGGCUUUCAAAGGAAUGUCCUGUGGGCUGAGAAACCUGCUGUGCGUGAUCUGCUGCUCCUUUGCACCCUCUGUCUGCAAGCCUGUGAGAAAAAGAAAAUGCUCCAGCUGCAAAGUAUUGCCUCGUGGUGUAAUACAGCCGAUGACGCAGCAAAUGCUGUGCGUAUGUCAGGGUCAGGAACAGAGACAUCUGUGUCUGUUACACAGGAAGGAACUGGCCAGAACGUCUGCUGCUGAGCUAAUGUCAGGUGCUGAGGUGCGUAACAGCACUGGGCAGGGCCAAAGUGAGCAGCACCUGCCCCCAGCUCCUCACCUGGCUGAGAGCACCUGGGUUUCAUCCUGCACAGUUGCAGGGUUCUCUUGUUUCUGCACUGAGUCUUUCUACAGGUGAGGCUGUAGUGAUACCUGCAAACAUUUAUUUGGCCAAAUGGCCCCGUGUGCCUUGAGAGUAGGUGUGCAGGUUGGUUUGAGAGAGGGUGCACCCGGUGGCAAUCCAGUGCCAUCUAAGAACCCUUUCAGCUUGACGUGUCCCAUCCUCCCUAUGGCUAGUUUUGUGGAGAACUGUAAAGUAUUUUAAUGUUGAGGUGGUUUUUGUUUGUUUGUUUGUUUGUUUUUAAUGUGGAUUGGCUGAGCUGAAGCAUCAAGCAAACAUUUACAAAUUCUAGAGCUUUAUAACCUGUUCAUCUCUGAGACAAAGGCUUCCUCUUCAGAAUGUGUACAAACUGCUCGUUUGCAUUUGGCUGAAGCAAGCAUUUUAUUGUAUAAAAAAGAUCCUGCCAGGGCUGCACAGACUGCCAUUGUGAGUGAUGUGUGGCCGCUCCACUCGCUUUGUUGCACACGCGGCUGCUUGAAGUCGUGCUGCCGGGGCAAUGACCCACCCCUUCCCCUGCUCCAGCAGAGCAGACAUCCACCUCCUGAGUGGGCCUGAGGAAUUUAUCUCCAAGUCUGCUAACUUCUCCCCAUGUGGCUGUUAUUCUUUUCCCCACGCGAAGGGCAUAAAAUUAGUUGCAGAAAGGCAGCACAGUCUAUGUGGGACAAAGAACGUUUCUCGAGUCCUGGAUUCAGGCACAUGUAUCUCCCAUCUUCCAGCUACAAAUUAAGGUGAGGAACAGAUGCAUGCUGGUAUGCACUUCAGUUUCCAAGGGAAGAAGGCACAGGGCAAGAGACCCACAGGAAUUUCCAGAAGCCCUCUACUCUCUGCUCCAUGACCUGCACGUAGCCACGAAGGUUAUCACAGCUUCCAGGCGGGGAGACACAAGAAUCUCUUCACAUGAAUAUGACUGUUUUUCCAUUACCUUUAGCAAGCUGAAAUUUUCUGAGACUAUUUUUUCCAGCAUAGUACAGUCUUAGACAUGGAAAUCCUCACGAAACACAAAAUUAAAGCUUACAAACUAGCCCAGCACCGAUGUCAGCCUUUUUGUACAACUGGUAGCUUGACACCUCACUUUAACACUUGUGGCUGUUAAUAGCACAAAGUGAGGGCACGUUGACCAGACUAUGGCAUUUGGUGUCCCACUCUUCUGCCUUUUUAACCAAGAGCCUUCCAGGGUAAAUUCUGGCUCUUUCUAGUUUCAUGUGUAGAUCAAAUGAAAAGCUUUAUAUUGUACACACACACACGCAUAUGCAUACAAAUAUUUAUAUAAAUCAAUUAAUACAUGUGUUAUAAACAGUUAAUAAAAAUACAGUGUAUUUGUUAGUACUGAAAACAAAUAGGAUUUCUAGAAAUGGUAAAAGAGUUGUUUUUUAAAAAAUAGCAGUCCAAGCAAAACCAACACAUGUUUUUUCUGUCUUUCAACUAUCUCCUCUCUUUUCUUUCUUGAGAGUAAAGCCAAAACUGGAAAACUGAGUUUGGGCCUAGUAGAAUUCCACCUUAAAUCCUCCCUCUUCCCAACAAAGAAUAACAUUUUACUUUUGGUUUUGUUUUUUCCUCAGAACUAUUUACAUGUUUCCGAGCCAACACAACAGCUGAUAGUGCUACUUCCCACUCCACCACACUGCAUGCUGUGCUUUCUGCACAGACCUCCUGAGAUUGCGUGAUUGCAUAUAUAACCUUGCUCCACACAGUGUCAGUAUUGUUCUGAUCCUUUCUCUUCCCCCACAUGAGUUUUUGUGUUCAGCAUAUCUUGGCAUUGUGAACUGGAGGCUUUCUAAAGGAGGUCUCAAUUUACCCCUGAUUUACCCCUAUAAAUCAGCUAAUAAACCAUUGUCAGCACUGGUGUUAUUACACUACAUGGAGACAAUGGGGAUGGAAUAUGCUGGUACAGACAACAGCAUUCCAGUUCUGAGGGCUGAAAUACACAGGACCCUUCAGAUGCUGAGGAUGCUCAAGGAUAGUCUGCAGGACAAGAGGAAAUCUGCAAGGUGACUCCUACAUCUCUGCUCUGCUUCACCGCUCUGCGACAAGUACAAGCCAAUGCACCCGGACAGAAAUACCUGUGGUAGUUGGAUUAUCUCCUCUGCACCCAAGGAAUUCCAUGCAGACUCCCAUGAACGGAGCUGAAUUCCUCAGCUCUUCCAUCUCCCUGGUGAACUGCACUGAAUUCCCUGCCAAAGCCCUCACACUCAUGGUGCCAGCAGUAUCCUGGGAAGACCUGUGUAUGCAAAAUGCUGUGUUACUGCUAUCACCUAGCAGGGUUUAUCGGAGUAAAGCAUAAUAAAACUUUAACAACAAUCC
This 2938-nucleotide long non-coding RNA is filed under the name Gallus gallus (chicken). RNAcentral describes it as "lncRNA (ENSGALG00010006451.1)". The record is from RNAcentral. Lineage: Eukaryota; Metazoa; Chordata; Aves; Galliformes; Phasianidae.